This 465-nucleotide ribosomal RNA is filed under the name uncultured bacterium. RNAcentral describes it as "bacterial SSU rRNA". It matches the Rfam family "Bacterial small subunit ribosomal RNA", at positions 338 to 795 of the family's 1533-position model. The record is from RNAcentral.
CCUACGGGAUGCAGCAGUGGGGAAUAUUGCACAAUGGGCGCAAGCCUGAUGCAGCCAUGCCGCGUGUAUGAAGAAGGCCUUCGGGUUGUAAAGUACUUUCAGCGGGGAGGAAGGUGUUGUGGUUAAUAACCGCAGCAAUUGACGUUACCCGCAGAAGAAGCACCGGCUAACUCCGUGCCAGCAGCCGCGGUAAUACGGAGGGUGCAAGCGUUAAUCGGAAUUACUGGGCGUAAAGCGCACGCAGGCGGACUGUCAAGUCGGAUGUGAAAUCCUCGGGCUCAACCUGGGAACUGCAUUCGAAACUGGCAGGCUAGAGUCUUGUAGAGGGGGGUAGAAUUCCAGGUGUAGCGGUGAAAUGCGAAGAGAUCUGGAGGAAUACCGGUGGCGAAGGCGGCCCCCUGGACAAAGACUGACGCUCAGGGGCGAAAGCGUGGGGAGCAGACAGGAUUAGAUACCCCCGUAGUC